This 253-nucleotide ribosomal RNA is filed under the name uncultured archaeon. RNAcentral's name for it is "partial 16S ribosomal RNA". It matches the Rfam family "Archaeal small subunit ribosomal RNA", at positions 474 to 726 of the family's 1478-position model. The record is from RNAcentral.
UACAGGUGGCACGAGUGGUGUCCGCGAAUAUUGAGCUUAAAGCGCCCGUAGCCGGCUCGUCAAGUUUCCCGUCAAAUCUCUCUACUUAACAGAGAGGCGUGCGGGAAAUACUAGCGGGCUCGAGAGUGGGGGAAGCCAAGAGUACGUUAGGGGGAGCGGUAAAAUGCUUUAAUCCUUAACGGACUACCAGUGGCGAAAGCGCUUGGCUAAAACACGUCUGACGGUGAGGGACGAAGGCUAGGGGAGCAAACGG